UACGAAGGGGGCGAGCGUUGUUCGGAAUUACUGGGCGUAAAGGGCGCGCAGGCGGCUCUGAAAGUCAGAUGUGAAAGCCCCGGGCUUAACCUGGGAACUGCGUUUGAAACUGGGAGACUUGAGUGUGGCAGAGGGGGGUGGAAUUCCACGUGUAGCAGUGAAAUGCGUAGAUAUGUGGAGGAACACCGAUGGCGAAGGCAGCCCCCUGGGUUAGCACUGACGCUCAUGCACGAAAGCGUGGGGAGCAAACAGG
This 253-nucleotide ribosomal RNA is filed under the name uncultured bacterium. RNAcentral describes it as "partial 16S ribosomal RNA". It matches the Rfam family "Bacterial small subunit ribosomal RNA", at positions 524 to 776 of the family's 1533-position model. The record is from RNAcentral.